RNAcentral lists this ribosomal RNA (2576 nucleotides) under Triticum aestivum (bread wheat). RNAcentral describes it as "partial small subunit ribosomal RNA". The record is from RNAcentral. Lineage: Eukaryota; Viridiplantae; Streptophyta; Magnoliopsida; Poales; Poaceae.
GAAAUCAAGCCCGGUAAAAGAUAAUCACCAGGAAACGAGGAAGGAAAGAAGGAGAGCAGAGAGAGUGUGUGAGUGAGGUUCCUUCUUCUCCGAAUCUUUUUCUUUACUAAAAAGCCAGGAGUAGUAUACUAAACAAGAAAGAGAAAUCUCCAGCCUUGUUUUCUUCCUCUCCGUCUGCGUCCUCGGGAAGAAACUAGGGUAGGGUAGGAGGAAAAGCGGAGAGAGGGGACGGGGCCAUGCCCAUGGUGAGGAAGCAUGGAUGGCAACUCCCAGCACACACAUUCCAGAUCGUCGCAAUUACUGUUUUCUUCCUUCUGGUGGUUGCAUUUUAUGCCUUCUUUGCACCGUUUUUGGGAAAGCAAAUCCUUGAGUAUGUCGCAGUCGGUAUCUACACUCCUGUGGCAUUCGCUGUCUUCAUCCUUUAUAUCCGGUGCACUAGUAUAAACCCUGCAGAUCCUGGGAUCAUGUCAAAGUUUGACGAUGGCCAUGUCAAUGCACCAGAAAGUAAUACUGGCUUGCAGGGCACCAAUAUGCCUGCAAAAACUGGCAUUGGUACUGGAACCAACUCCCCAACAUCUACUUGUAGAAGCUCUCUAGAUGGGCGUACUAACCAUGGAGGUUUGGCUGCUGGAGAUACAGAUAUAAAUAUAAGAAUGCAACCACUAAAAAGAAGAUCAGGGUGCUACUUCGGAGGCUUUAUUUGUGCUUUCUUUGUUAAGGAGGAUUGCAGGAAGUCUGAUGAUUCAGAGAAUCAAGUUGAUGCAGAAGAUGCACUGUUUUGCACAUUAUGUAAUGCUGAGGUUCGCAAAUUCAGUAAACAUUGCAGAAGUUGUGACAAGUGUGUGGAUGGAUUUGAUCAUCACUGCCGGUGGCUAAAUAACUGUGUUGGACGCAAGAACUAUUUCACAUUUUUUGCUCUGAUGACUACUAGUCUCCUCUGGCUUGCUAUUGAAGUUGGAGUAGGCAUUGCUGUUCUUGUUAUGUGCUUCGCCAACACGAAUGCAGAAAAAAUUAUUCAAGACAAGCUUGGGAAUGGAUUAACUCGUCUUCCGUUUGCAACUAUCGUAGGAAUAUUUACUCUUCUUUCUCUAGUUGCCUGCGUACCUUUGGGAGAACUCUUCUUCUUCCACAUGCUAUUGAUCAGAAAGGGGAUCACCACUUAUGAAUACGUUGUUGCAAUGAGAGCUAUGAGUGAAGUGCCUCAAGAUGAGGAGGAAGAUGAGAGAGCAAACAUUAUUUACUCCCCAACAAAUUCAGCAACUAGUGGGUUCAGCGGCGGAAGUUCACUUGGUCUUCACUACAAGGGUGCAUGGUGCACACCUCCAAGGAUUUUUGUCGAUCAGGAUGAAGUUAUCCCACAUUUGGAGCGUGGCAUGGCACCAUCUACCGUCGACCCUGAUGCCACUGGACAUGCUGAAAGGCCAAACAAAGCCAAGAGGCAAGUCAAAAUCAGUGCCUGGAAACUUGCAAAGCUGGACGGCAAUGAGGCGAUGAAAGCUGCUGCAAGAGCUCGGGCAUCAUCCUCCGUCCUCCGGCCCGUAGGUGCGCGCGGCCCUGGCUCCACUGGCAACUCGCAUCCUCAGAGUAUCGCGAGCCAGGAUGACUACGAGACCGGCACGCAGAGUGCUAGCAGUUUGAGCAGCCCGGUCCACAUCCACAAGCUUGCACCUCGCACCCAGAUGAAUGUGCCGCCGCCUCGACCGCCGGAGGGGCCUGGUUUUCCAACCACGCAGGCAACAACCAACCCAAUAAUGUUCCGGUCGGCAACAUCCUACGCUCGCGAGAACCAUAGAGCGUCGGUUGUUUGGGAUCAAGAUGCUGGUCGGUAUGUGUCUGUGGCAUCCGCACCUGCAAGACCAGUGGGAGCUGCUGCUGGUUCUUCUACUAGAGCGCCACGUUUCUUGGAAAACCCAAGUGGUGGCAGAAAUCUUGCGCCAAUGAGUGCCGCUUCCUCGGCAUUACCAUCUGGACAGCCAUCUGAGAGACUGGCCUACUCUGGACAGUCGAUAUUCUUGGGCGGGCCGGUUCUGGGUGCUGCUGCUGAAUCUCGAACGAAUGAGGCCAACACAAGAGCACGGCCGGAUGACAGUGGGGAGCUCAACGCCGAUCAGCACCAUGCAAGGGGGAGUGGGGAGAGGGGGCCAACGGCCGAGUCUUUCCCGGCGGGAACAUUUCAAAAGAAACCACCAUUCAACAGGUGAAGCGCAAAGAAACGAUUACGGAUGACAGCGAACCGUCCUGCCAGAUCAUAGCUGCGCCAUGAGGACAUGCCAAGAUAUGUGAGCAAUCACAGGUCCAGUGACUGCAGCUGCAAGCCUAGAAGAAUCUGCUGUCCAUCUUUGGAGUAUGAAAGGGGGAUCAUUUACUGUCAAGUCAUGCAUCUGAAUUGAACAUAACAUUUCUUUCUCAGAAGACCCAGUGACAUAUGAAACCGAAAUCGGGAAACAAAAGCAGAACAGCCAGUUGGCUUCGGUGUAACAAUUUUUGUUCCCUCGUUGUGGUGCUUGGGAGUAGCUUCGUUUAACAGGAAAUUAAAACAUAUCAUGAUAUUUAAGAGCUUCUCCAAGGGAGGCCCC